AGGUAUGCUACGGGAACAUGUCAUGCCUUACAAGGGAAUAGGUGUGGCAUGUCAGGUCACCGGAGCCAUGCCUCAGCCAUAGCCACCUCCACCUUCGCAGCCUCAGCCACAGCCACCACCACCUAUACAGCCACCACUACCCCCACAGUCACAUCCUGUACAGAGGUCCCCAUUAGAGAAACUAUGGAAAUAUGGAGCAGUUGACUUCAAGGGUAAGAAG
RNAcentral lists this unclassified non-coding RNA (220 nucleotides) under Hevea brasiliensis (rubber tree). Lineage: Eukaryota; Viridiplantae; Streptophyta; Magnoliopsida; Malpighiales; Euphorbiaceae. The record is from RNAcentral.